CUACGGGGCGCUGCAGUGAGGAAUAUUGCGCAAUGGGCGAAAGCCUGACGCAGCGACGCCGCGUGGAGGAUGAAGGCUUUAGGGUCGUAAACUCCUGUUAAGUGGGAAGAAAGACUUUUUCUUAAUAGGAAAAAGGGAUGACAGUACCAUUAGAGAAAGCACCGGCUAACUUCGUGCCAGCAGCCGCGGUAAUACGAGGGGUGCAAGCGUUAUUCGGAAUCAUUGGGCGUAAAGGGUGCGUAGGCGGUAACCUAAGUCAACUGUUAAAUACUCCGGCCUAACUGGAGAUCAGCGGUAGAUACUGGGUUACUAGAGGAUGGAAGAGAGAAGUGGAAUUCUCGGAGUAGCGGUAAAAUGCGUGGAUCUCGAGAGGAACACCAAUGGCGAAGGCAGCUUCUUGGUCCAUUUCUGACGCUGAGGCACGAAAGCGUGGGGAGCAAACAGGACUAGAUACCCCAGUAGUC
RNAcentral lists this ribosomal RNA (464 nucleotides) under uncultured bacterium. Its description in RNAcentral is "partial 16S ribosomal RNA". It matches the Rfam family "Bacterial small subunit ribosomal RNA", at positions 339 to 795 of the family's 1533-position model. The record is from RNAcentral.